CCUACGGGGUGCUGCAGUGGGGAAUAUUGGGCAAUGGGCGCAAGCCUGACCCAGCAACGCCGCGUGAAGGAAGAAGGCUUUCGGGUUGUAAACUUCUUUUGACAGGGAAGAGCAGAAGACGGUACCUGUCGAAUAAGCCACGGCUAACUACGUGCCAGCAGCCGCGGUAAUACGUAGGUGGCAAGCGUUGUCCGGAUUUACUGGGGGUAAAGGGCGGGUAGCCGGGCUGACAAGUCAGAUGUGAAAUCCGGGGGCUCAAACCCCGAACUGCAUUGGAAACUGUUGGUCUUGAGUGUCGGAGAGGCAGGCGGAAUUCCUAGUGUAGCGGUGAAAUGCGUAGAUAUUAGGAGGAACACCAGUGGCGAAGGCGGCCUGCUGGACGACAACUGACGGUGAGGCGCGAAAGCGUGGGGAGCAAACAGGAUUAGAUACCCGGGUAGUC
Molecule: ribosomal RNA, 442 nt
Filed under: uncultured bacterium
Lineage: Bacteria
Description: partial 16S ribosomal RNA
Rfam family: Bacterial small subunit ribosomal RNA
Source: RNAcentral